GGUUAAGUUAGAAAGGGCGCACGGUGGAUGCCUUGACACUAGGAGUCGAUGAAGGACGGGACUAACGCCGAUAUGCUUCGGGGAGCUGUAAGUAAGCUUUGAUCCGAAGAUUUCCGAAUGGGGAAACCCACUAUACGUAAUGGUAUGGUAUCCUUACCUGAAUACAUAGGGUAUGGAAGACAGACCCAGGGAACUGAAACAUCUAAGUACCUGGAGGAAGAGAAAGCAAAUGCGAUUUCCUGAGUAGCGGCGAGCGAAACGGAAUCUAGCCCAAACCAAGAGGCUUGCCUCUUGGGGUUGUAGGACAUUCUAUACGGAGUUACAAAGGAACGAGGUAGACGAAGCGACCUGGAAAGGUCCGUCACAGAGGGUAA
Molecule: ribosomal RNA, 374 nt
Filed under: Bacillus cereus
Lineage: Bacteria; Bacillati; Bacillota; Bacilli; Caryophanales; Bacillaceae
Also listed under: 2 other names
Description: partial 23S ribosomal RNA
Rfam family: Bacterial large subunit ribosomal RNA
Source: RNAcentral